UACGUAGGGGGCGAAGCGUUGUCCGGAAUCAUUGGGCGUAAAGGGCGCGUAGGCGGGCAUAUAAGUCUGAUGUGAAAGUGCGGAGCUUAACUCCGUAAAGCAUUGGAAACUGUGUGUCUUGAGGACAGGAGAGGAAAGUGGAAUUCCACGUGUAGCGGUGAAAUGCGUAGAGAUGUGGAGGAACACCAGUGGCGAAGGCGACUUUCUGGACUGUAACUGACGCUGAGGCGCG
This 232-nucleotide ribosomal RNA is filed under the name uncultured bacterium. Its description in RNAcentral is "partial 16S ribosomal RNA". It matches the Rfam family "Bacterial small subunit ribosomal RNA", at positions 524 to 755 of the family's 1533-position model. The record is from RNAcentral.